AAGUCGUAACAAGGUUUCCGUAGGUGAACCUGCGGAAGGAUCAUUAUCGAGUUUUUGAAAUGGGUUGUCGCUGGUCUCUUAUGAGGCAUGUGCACGCUCAGCUCAUCCACUCCUAAACCCUAUGUGCACCUAUGUAGAGUUUGGUGAAUGUCGGUCGAAUGGCUGAUAGGAUCCUUCUCUAUGUCUUUUAUAUAAACGCUUUAGUUAUAGAAUGUUACCUUGCAUAUUAAUGCAUUAUUAGUAUAACUUUCAGCAACGGAUCUCUUGGCUCUC
Molecule: unclassified non-coding RNA, 273 nt
Filed under: fungal sp.
Lineage: Eukaryota; Fungi
Also listed under: 1 other name
Description: partial internal transcribed spacer region
Rfam family: Eukaryotic small subunit ribosomal RNA (bases 1-46)
Source: RNAcentral